AGAGAUCUACAUUAAUGCUUAUUGCCUGUGUCGUCACUGUAUCUUUAGUGUUUUACUUGAGUAUCUGUCAUCUUAACAAAGUACAUAUCAACCACGUACGAAGUAGAAAUAUAUUCUCGUUUAACUAGUGUUUUCAAAUUUUAUUUGCUUGAGGACAAGCAAAGAUUCAAGUUUAAGGGAGUUUGAUAACGCGAAAAUACAUCGCAUAUUUGCCUUGAUUUACACUAAAAAAUCGUAACACUUUCAUUUAUAUUCUG
This 257-nucleotide long non-coding RNA is filed under the name Lathyrus oleraceus (garden pea). RNAcentral's name for it is "Pisum sativum (pea) long non-coding RNA (PSAT_LNC027673)". Lineage: Eukaryota; Viridiplantae; Streptophyta; Magnoliopsida; Fabales; Fabaceae. The record is from RNAcentral.